GUAAGGAAUAUUGGUCAAUGGACGAAAGUCUGAACCAGCCAUGCCGCGUGAAGGAUGAAGGCCCUCUGGGUCGUAAACUUCUUUUAUCUAUGAAUAAACGCCCGAUUUCUAUUGGGUUUGAAGGUAAUAGACGAAUAAGCACCGGCUAACUCCGUGCCAGCAGCCGCGGUAAUACGGAGGGUGCAAGCGUUAUCCGGAUUUACUGGGUUUAAAGGGUGCGUAGGCGGAUUGGUAAGUCAGCGGUGAAAUACUCUCGCUUAACGAGGGAACUGCCGUUGAUACUACUAAUCUUGAAUACGGUUGAGGCGGAUAGAAUGUGUCAUGUAGCGGUGAAAUGCUUAGAUAUGACACAGAAUACCAAUUGCGAAGGCAGUUCGCUAAGCCGUUAUUGACGCUGAGGCACGAAAGCGUGGGGAUCAAACAGGAUUAGAAACCCUUGUAGUCC
This 445-nucleotide ribosomal RNA is filed under the name uncultured bacterium. RNAcentral's name for it is "bacterial SSU rRNA". It matches the Rfam family "Bacterial small subunit ribosomal RNA", at positions 354 to 796 of the family's 1533-position model. The record is from RNAcentral.